This 429-nucleotide ribosomal RNA is filed under the name Actinomycetes bacterium. RNAcentral's name for it is "Actinobacteria bacterium partial 16S ribosomal RNA". It matches the Rfam family "Bacterial small subunit ribosomal RNA", at positions 355 to 776 of the family's 1533-position model. Lineage: Bacteria; Bacillati; Actinomycetota; Actinomycetes. The record is from RNAcentral.
UAGGGAAUCUUCCGCAAUGGGCGAAAGCCUGACGGAGCAACGCCGCGUGAGUGAUGAAGGUCUUCGGAUCGUAAAACUCUGUUAUUAGGGAAGAACAAAUGUGUAAGUAACUAUGCACGUCUUGACGGUACCUAAUCAGAAAGCCACGGCUAACUACGUGCCAGCAGCCGCGGUAAUACGUAGGUGGCAAGCGUUAUCCGGAAUUAUUGGGCGUAAAGCGCGCGUAGGCGGUUUUUUAAGUCUGAUGUGAAAGCCCACGGCUCAAACGUGGAGGGUCAUUGGAAACUGGAAAACUUGAGUGCAGAAGAAGAAAGUGGAAAUCCAUGGGUAGCCGUGAAAUGCGCAGAGAUAUGGAGGAACACCAGGGGCGAAGGCGACUUUCCGGUCUGUAACUGACCCUGAUGUGCGAAAGCGGGGGGAUCAAACAGG